GAUGAAGAACGUAGCGAAAUGCGAUAAGUAAUGCGAAUUGCAGAAUUUCCGUGAAUCAUCGAAUCUUUGAACGCACAUUGCGCCCCUUGGUAUUCCGAGGGGCAUGCCUGUUCGAGCGUCAUAUUAACCACUCCCGCUUGCGGGGUCUUGGGCUUCGCCUCCGGGCGGGCCUUAAAAUCAGUGGCGGUGCCGUCGGGCUCUACGCGUAGUAAAUUUUCUCGCGAUAGGGUCCCGGUGGAUGCUUGCCAACAACCCCCAACUUCUUAAGGUUGACCUCGGAUCAGGUAGGGAUACCCGCUGAACUUAAGCAUAUCAAUAAGCGGAGGA
Molecule: unclassified non-coding RNA, 327 nt
Filed under: soil metagenome
Description: partial contains 5.8S ribosomal RNA, internal transcribed spacer 2, and large subunit ribosomal RNA
Rfam family: 5.8S ribosomal RNA (bases 1-121)
Source: RNAcentral